Molecule: ribosomal RNA, 483 nt
Filed under: uncultured bacterium
Lineage: Bacteria
Description: partial 16S ribosomal RNA
Rfam family: Bacterial small subunit ribosomal RNA
Source: RNAcentral
AGUGAACGCUGGCGGCAGGCCUAACACAUGCAAGUCGAGCGGCAGCGCGGGGGCAACCCUGGCGGCGAGCGGCGGACGGGUGAGGAAUUCGUCGGAAUCUGCCUUUUUGUGGGGGAUAACGUAGGGAAACUUACGCUAAUACCGCAUACGUCCUACGGGAGAAAGUGGGGGACCGCAAGGCCUCACGCAGAAAGAUGAGCCGACGACCGAUUAGCUAGUUGGUGGGGUAAAGGCCCACCAAGGCGACGAUCGGUAGCUGGUCUGAGAGGAUGAUCAGCCACACUGGGACUGAGACACGGCCAGACUCCUACGGGAGGCAGCAGUGGGGAAUAUUGGACAAUGGGCGCAAGCCUGAUCCAGCCAUGCCGCGUGUGUGAAGAAGGCCUUCGGGUUGUAAAGCACUUUUGUCCGGAAAGAAAUCCCUGGAGCUAAUACCUUCGGGGGAUGACGGUACCGGAAGAAUAAGCACCGGCUAACUUCGUG